This 448-nucleotide ribosomal RNA is filed under the name uncultured bacterium. RNAcentral describes it as "bacterial SSU rRNA". It matches the Rfam family "Bacterial small subunit ribosomal RNA", at positions 329 to 795 of the family's 1533-position model. The record is from RNAcentral.
AACCAGACUCCUACGGGAGGCAGCAGUGGGGAUAUUGCACAAUGGGGGGAACCCUGAUGCAGCGACGCCGCGUGGGUGAAGAAGCGCCUCGGCGCGUAAAGCCCUGUCAGCAGGGAAGAAAAUGACGGUACCUGAAGAAGAAGCCCCGGCUAACUACGUGCCAGCAGCCGCGGUAAUACGUAGGGGGCAAGCGUUAUCCGGAUUUACUGGGUGUAAAGGGGGCGCAGACGGCGAUGCAAGCCAGGAGUGAAAGCCCGGGGCCCAACCCCGGGACUGCUCUUGGAACUGCGUGGCUGGAGUGCAGGAGGGGCAGGCGGAAUUCCUGGUGUAGCGGUGAAAUGCGUAGAUAUCAGGAGGAACACCGGUGGCGAAGGCGGCCGGCUGGACUGCAACUGACGUUGAGGCCCGAAAGCGUGGGGAGCAAACAGGAUUAGAUACCCGCGUAGUG